GGAAAGAACCAUCGAAACCAGGAACCAGGAAAGCACUCAGCCCUAAUUAGUUAAUUCCUGUAACUUGAAAAAUUGAUGAAUAGAGUAAUUACACGUUGCAGCGUGCUCGGAGAUCUUUAGUUCAGUCAGAAGUUCCUUCAGAUUCUAUUGAGGGAGCUAAUAGAACAGACGAGACUGAACCAGAGGAGAUCGAUCAACCAUCAACCAUCAACCAUCAAACUAUUCAACACGAAGGGGAAAAUUUUAUUUGUAUAUAUGAGGGAGUGACACUAACUUUAGUAUUAAACUAACUAAUUAUCAUCGGCAGUUCAAACCUCCCUGAAAAAGAUUUGAACUUCUUUUUUUCAAUGGAUAAAUGAUAAAUACUAAUGAACUAAAUCCAGACUAAUUAUUUAAAAAUAGUUUUUAUUCAACAAAAUUUUUUGCAUUGCAUUUUAGACACUAUUUAUUACAAUUGAAGAAUGAUUUUAUAAUCUUAUUUAAGACACUAAUUGACCAAAAACAUUUUUUAAUGGAGCAUGCACAUGGUAACUUGAAAAUUAUGAGAGGUUUGUUUCAGAAAAGGGGGAGGGGAGCACAAAUGGGGGAGUAG
This is a long non-coding RNA of Eurytemora carolleeae, 592 nucleotides long. RefSeq lists it as uncharacterized. The transcript is spliced from 3 exons. The record is from RefSeq and is a predicted model, not a curated record. NCBI's taxonomy places the organism in Eukaryota, Metazoa, Arthropoda, Copepoda, Calanoida, Temoridae.